Molecule: transfer RNA, 77 nt
Filed under: Ruminococcus sp.
Lineage: Bacteria; Bacillati; Bacillota; Clostridia; Eubacteriales; Oscillospiraceae
Description: tRNA-Asp
Rfam family: tRNA
About the family: Transfer RNA (tRNA) molecules are approximately 80 nucleotides in length. Their secondary structure includes four short double-helical elements and three loops (D, anti-codon, and T loops).
Source: RNAcentral
GGCCGGGUAGUUCAGUUGGUUAGAACGCUAGCCUGUCACGCUAGAGGUCGUGGGUUCGACCCCCAUUCCGGUCGCCA